This is a long non-coding RNA of Cotesia glomerata, 477 nucleotides long. RefSeq lists it as uncharacterized. The record is from RefSeq and is a predicted model, not a curated record. The transcript is spliced from 3 exons. NCBI's taxonomy places the organism in Eukaryota, Metazoa, Arthropoda, Insecta, Hymenoptera, Braconidae.
CAAGUAAAAAAAAAUUUCGAAAUGUACCCAAUUAACAAGAAUUUCGAAGGGUAUGGUACCUGGUACCAGAUGGUUCUACGUAUUUACGGAGAAAAGGAUAUAAGGUCGGGCGUCCAGAUCCGCGCUUUGGCGCGCCCAAUCAAUCCGGCAAGGGGGCUGCGUUUGGCGUCUCGCCUUAUGAAUCUUUUUGGCCCACUUCCUCCAGAGGUUUUAGAAGCCGUGACCUUCUUUUGUCUUCAAGGCAUAAAGCUUGUCUCGGAGCCUUGGGAGUUCGAUGCCGUGGUUACUCCUAAUAGUGGAGACUUGGAGAUUUUGAGAGUUGCCUUGAUGGAGGCGGUGUUUAACGGCUUGGUCACUAUGUCCUAGUGGCUAGGCGUAUCAGAUGUUGCUGGAUGGCUGACAGAUGACGUGAGUGCUAUGCCAUCUCAGCACUUCUGCAGUUGAAGUUAUUUAAUGAAUUUGUAGUUACUUAUUAGA